RNAcentral lists this ribosomal RNA (253 nucleotides) under uncultured bacterium. RNAcentral describes it as "partial 16S ribosomal RNA". It matches the Rfam family "Bacterial small subunit ribosomal RNA", at positions 524 to 776 of the family's 1533-position model. The record is from RNAcentral.
UACAGAGGGUGCGAGCGUUAAUCGGAAUUACUGGGCGUAAAGCGCACGUAGGCGGUCUUUUAAGUCGGGGGUGAAAUCCUGGAGCUCAACUCCAGAACUGCCUUCGAUACUGGAAGACUCGAGUCCGGGAGAGGUGAGUGGAACUGCGAGUGUAGAGGUGAAAUUCGUAGAUAUUCGCAAGAACACCAGUGGCGAAGGCGGCUCACUGGCCCGGUACUGACGCUGAGGUGCGAAAGCGUGGGGAGCAAACAGG